AUGCUGAGCUCAACCCCAUGCACCACGCCCAUCACGCAGCAAGUAGCUAGCCGCCCCGCUGCCGUCCUCUUCUUAUCCCCAGCCCUCCCGCGCCGAGCCGUGGCCACAAACGGCGGCUGGACCACCCACACGUCGGCGUCGGCCACGCCGUGUCACUCCACUCCUCGCGUCGCCAUUGGCCCAGGUCACCAGAGAAAGAGCACUGGCAAGAGCCAGCUAUAUCCGCUUCGGAUCGGGGCCCUGGAAACCUGUGGAGCAGAAGCUCCGGCCAUGGCCAUCCCAUUCUCCUAUUUAGCCGCGAUCUCCCCCGCAUCCUGUCACUACCAGUGA
RNAcentral lists this ribosomal RNA (330 nucleotides) under Triticum aestivum (bread wheat). RNAcentral's name for it is "partial small subunit ribosomal RNA". Lineage: Eukaryota; Viridiplantae; Streptophyta; Magnoliopsida; Poales; Poaceae. The record is from RNAcentral.